AGGGAAACUUGUUAGGUGAGGUUCCUAUAUGAAAAUAUGCUACUGCCCAGAAAUGUGGAGACACACCAAUGGGUCAGCAGGUACUACCGAAUUAAGGUUUUAUCUAAUGUAGCUGAGAAUUCUCUAAGUCAUAUAGUGCCAAAGCUCGACUAGGUGGAGUUUUUAG
This is a regulatory RNA element of Clostridium acidisoli DSM 12555, 166 nucleotides long. It matches the Rfam family "M-box riboswitch aptamer (ykoK leader)". From Rfam's summary of the family: M-box riboswitch, also know as ykoK leader is described as a metaloregulatory RNA that sense divalent metals and function as a genetic control element of genes related to divalent metal transport in bacteria. It was first reported upstream of the B.subtilis ykoK gene and genes with related functions in other bacteria. Lineage: Bacteria; Bacillati; Bacillota; Clostridia; Eubacteriales; Clostridiaceae. The record is from Rfam.